Long non-coding RNA from Frieseomelitta varia, 962 nucleotides. RefSeq lists it as uncharacterized. The transcript has 3 exons. The record is from RefSeq and is a predicted model, not a curated record. NCBI's taxonomy places the organism in Eukaryota, Metazoa, Arthropoda, Insecta, Hymenoptera, Apidae.
AGCAGAACGGUAACGGUAGUGUAAAAAUUAGAAAUAAUCGUAAACUUUUUUGUCGGGUGUGUAAAUGUCAGACCGACAUUACGUUAAAAUGCCCCACAUAAAUUUCAACGCGAGACAAGCACAUCCCUUCGUUUAUCACUUCUUGAAAUCUGAUUUCAAUUUUAUAGUCUGCCCUAAAUUUCUAGUUCCGCGUAUAUAGAUACGCAUGAUAACAUUCUUAAUUGAAUAUUUGCAAAAGCUUUCAUUGAUUGAUUAAAUACUUGAAACUUGAAUACGAAUAAAAAACCAUUGGAUAGAAAUCAAUUAAUUUUUCAUUAUGCAAUAUUUGCUUUUCAUUGGAAAUUUAGUUAUUCGGAAAAGUAUAUCAGAUGUUGCUUUGAUUGAAAAAGUUCUAAGUAUCGACAAAAUUUACGACAGACGUAGAAGAACCAAAAGAGAACUUAUUGUGAUGUAGUUGAGGAUUCACUUUCUCGGAUAAUUUAAAUUCACAGUGAAAGUGCCUAUCAGAGGCGUGCAGCAUUCAAUACCUGCAGGAACUUCGCAGCGAAUAAAUAUUUGACAGACGAAUCUCCUCGAGCUAAGAAUAGAAUCUCUGAUUUUUAUUUUACUUGCCCGUCAGCAUUCAACGAACCAGAAUAAAAUGGACAAUACGAUUAGUUCCAAGAUGAGCCCAACUCGGUGUAUAUCGGAUGAUACAUUUCCACCAGAUUCUGGAAAACAUAUAACAGAUUUGUUACAGACAAAACAAAAUGACAUAGAAGCAGCUGUACUUAUAAAAAUAUAUAAUUAUGUGAAUCGAGGUAAACUUAUAAAAGGUUCAACAUUUUGAGUUGAAAGAUACACAGUGACGAAGUGGUUCCGUGGUUUCGUCCUCACAGUCUUCUUCAACGGAUCUGAUCUCUAUGAACCCCUUCUUUUCGGGUUCGUCGACCUCCAACGCAUUCACUGCGUAAUCGGACCUU